RNAcentral lists this ribosomal RNA (522 nucleotides) under Hydrogenophaga sp. BAC56P. RNAcentral's name for it is "bacterial SSU rRNA". It matches the Rfam family "Bacterial small subunit ribosomal RNA", at positions 970 to 1492 of the family's 1533-position model. The record is from RNAcentral. Lineage: Bacteria; Pseudomonadati; Pseudomonadota; Betaproteobacteria; Burkholderiales; Comamonadaceae.
CUUACCCACCUUUGACAUGUACGGAAUUUGCCAGAGAUGGCUUAGUGCUCGAAAGAGAACCGUAACACAGGUGCUGCAUGGCUGUCGUCAGCUCGUGUCGUGAGAUGUUGGGUUAAGUCCCGCAACGAGCGCAACCCUUGUCAUUAGUUGCUACAUUCAGUUGGGCACUCUAAUGAGACUGCCGGUGACAAACCGGAGGAAGGUGGGGAUGACGUCAAGUCCUCAUGGCCCUUAUAGGUGGGGCUACACACGUCAUACAAUGGCCGGUACAAAGGGUCGCAAACCCGCGAGGGGGAGCCAAUCCAUCAAAGCCGGUCGUAGUCCGGAUCGCAGUCUGCAACUCGACUGCGUGAAGUCGGAAUCGCUAGUAAUCGUGGAUCAGCAUGUCACGGUGAAUACGUUCCCGGGUCUUGUACACACCGCCCGUCACACCAUGGGAGCGGGUCUCGCCAGAAGUAGUUAGCCUAACCGCAAGGAGGGCGAUUACCACGGCGGGGUUCGUGACUGGGGUGAAGUCGUAAC